ACGCUCGACACCUACGGGGGCAGCAGUGGGGAAUAUUGCACAAUGGAGGAAACUCUGAUGCAGCGAUGCCGCGUGAGGGAAGAAGGUUUUCGGAUUGUAAACCUCUGUCUUUGGGGACGAUAAUGACGGUACCCAAGGAGGAAGCUCCGGCUAACUACGUGCCAGCAGCCGCGGUAAUCUGAGCGGGCUGGCAAGGC
RNAcentral lists this ribosomal RNA (197 nucleotides) under uncultured bacterium. Its description in RNAcentral is "partial 16S ribosomal RNA". It matches the Rfam family "Bacterial small subunit ribosomal RNA", at positions 328 to 539 of the family's 1533-position model. The record is from RNAcentral.